This 579-nucleotide long non-coding RNA is filed under the name Triticum aestivum (bread wheat). Its description in RNAcentral is "long non-coding RNA (TAES_LNC015657)". The record is from RNAcentral. Lineage: Eukaryota; Viridiplantae; Streptophyta; Magnoliopsida; Poales; Poaceae.
GCUGCCUGCGCGCCGGUAGAUUCUUAUCUCUGUCUAAUUUUUUCUCUGUCCUUGGCAUUAACAAACUUAUUCAGUGCUCCAGACUCCGGCUAUUUUCAGUGUUGUUUUGUCGAAUGUCAAUCAUAUAUUUGUUGUAGGCUUUAGCUAGUUUAGUUCUAGUUAAUAUGUUGCUACUAGCUAGUUCUGGUUAUAUGCUCACGAACUAAUUUCUGUCCUUGUUAUUAUUUGUAGAAAUGAAGAGAAAGACUUUGCACAGUCGGUUUGCAAGCAGGUCAAAUAUGCUCCCUUCUGUUCUUGAAUCCAAUGCUGUCCCAAUUCAUGCCUUACUAUAUCACUAACAAUUGUGCUAAUUUGGACUGAUGGCUUGCAGAAUGUCGCUUGCAUUUUGGUGUGGAGGUGUUCUACAACUACAAUAGCAUUAGUAAGAAGCAACACCAAUAUCAUUGUCUUUGUCAUUUUUUGUUGCUUCUCUAGUACUUGAUGUAUUGGUAUGUGAAUUAUAUGAAACUUUGUUGUAUGGUCAAUCAUGCUACUACUGGCUACUAGUAUUGUUCUUGAGAAAUUUCAUGUCAAUUGGAG